RNAcentral lists this long non-coding RNA (918 nucleotides) under Setaria viridis. RNAcentral describes it as "long non-coding RNA (SVIR_LNC010908)". Lineage: Eukaryota; Viridiplantae; Streptophyta; Magnoliopsida; Poales; Poaceae. The record is from RNAcentral.
AAAUAUCUUCCCGAAGAAGUUUGAUCUGAUACAAGACUGAAAUUAUGGUGUAGCCUACAUUAUAUUAUUAAAUUGUAUUAUUACUAGAGCAACGAUUAAGUAAUUUGGAUCGGACCAAUGAUACAAAAUCAGUCCUAUAAAUUGCACAAGUCAGAUGAGGCACUUUCUUAUUGCAUUGCUAGUUACAUGUAAGAUUGACAUGUACCUAGGGUUGAAAGCGGUCGAACUCGGUCGAGAUAACCCCAAUACCGUUUUCACUUUUACAUUUCAAUACGAAAACAAAAUCGAAUUCGGGAAGGUCAGAAACGAACACGAAAAUGAACUAACGAGAUAUCGAAAACGAACUAAUUCGAUCGGGAACAUGUCGAACACGGUCGGAAUAGGAAAAGCAAAAUGGAAACACCGACUCGUAGAACCUAGUUGAGCAUGACAAGUUGACAACAUGCCAACAGUCCGGUACCGACACAACCACAUAUGGUCAUGCACAAUUCACUUGUACACAUACAUUGAUACACAAAUCACCAAUUCACCAUAACAAUUGAUAAAUAGGCAACAUGUCUAAAUAGCAUAAGGGCGUAACAUAUUGUCAGAGUCACACAGACUGACAGAACACCACCAUAGUCCAUAUACCAUAGCUCCAAUCCAGGAUCCCAGCUGAAGAGCAUAGCACAAAAGCAGCAAAGCACAAGUUUUGACUACAACUAAAAUAUAAUUAUUUAGAGCCAUUUGGACUAGCCAACAGGUUAUAUUUCAGCAGCACUUUCCAUGGCAUCUGGAUCACUUCCCAUGUCUUCUAGUUCCUCAGUGUCCCAUUCAUUCCCCUCAUUGAUUUCUUCAUGCUGCAAGUUGGCAAGUUGCCAUUGUGAAGAAAAGCAGUAUAACAGUCAGUAAGGAUCAAUGAAAGGACUAACAAGUAAU